Non-coding RNA from Cinara cedri, 462 nucleotides. NCBI's taxonomy places the organism in Eukaryota, Metazoa, Arthropoda, Insecta, Hemiptera, Aphididae. The record is from the annotation of a GenBank genome assembly.
AUUUGAUAUCAUAAGGUCAACUCAUUUAGUUUGUUUCUUUGAGAUGAAAAUAGUUUGAAAUUUAAGUAAUUGUAAGUCAAUAAUAAAUAAAAAAAAUAAAGAGUACAAUUUCACGUACUUGACAAUAUUGUUAAGGACAUAGGACAAUGCAUCAGAAAUUGUAUUCUGUACGUUCGAAUCCAAUAGAUGUGUUUAAAUCCAGGUAGGGUCAUUUGUGCUUCUCAUCAAAGGUAUACGAUAGUUGGGAAUUAUAGUUACUUAGUUACCAUUUUGUUUUGUAAAAAUAUACAAAAUAUAUCAAAAGCUUAUACCUGUCAUAAACUAUUUUACAAUUUCUAAAACUAGAGCUGAAGAAGUUUUUUUUUUUUGGAUUUUGUUUUUGUGUGUUAUUUAGUUUAAAAAAUGGUUGAUAUCUUCAGUUUUCUCAGAACACUACACGGUUUAUUGUUUCGUACAGAUAUG